UACGAAGGGGGCUAGCGUUGUUCGGAAUUACUGGGCGUAAAGGGCGCGUAGGCGGUGUGUCAAGUCAGGCGUGAAAGCCCCGGGCUCAACCUGGGAACAGCGCUUGAGACUGGCACGCUCGAGUUCGGGAGAGGAUGGUGGAAUUCUCGGUGUAGCGGUGAAAUGCGCAGAUAUCAGGAGGAACACCUACGGCGAAGGCAGCUCGCUGGGACGGUACUGACGCUGAGACGCGAAAGCGUGGGGAGCAAACAGG
RNAcentral lists this ribosomal RNA (253 nucleotides) under uncultured bacterium. Its description in RNAcentral is "partial 16S ribosomal RNA". It matches the Rfam family "Bacterial small subunit ribosomal RNA", at positions 524 to 776 of the family's 1533-position model. The record is from RNAcentral.